Molecule: ribosomal RNA, 253 nt
Filed under: uncultured bacterium
Lineage: Bacteria
Description: partial 16S ribosomal RNA
Rfam family: Bacterial small subunit ribosomal RNA
Source: RNAcentral
UACGUAGGGGGCGAGCGUUGUCCGGAAUUACUGGGCGUAAAGAGAGCGUAGGCGGCACUACAAGUCUCAUGUGAAAUACCCGGGCUUAACUUGGGGGUUGCAUGGGAAACUGUAGAGCUUGAGUACAGGAGAGGCAAGCGGAAUUCCUAGUGUAGCGGUGAAAUGCAUAGAUAUUAGGAGGAACACCAGUGGCGAAGGCGGCUUGCUGGGCUGAAACUGACGCUGAGGCUCGAAAGCGUGGGGAGCAAACAGG